Molecule: ribosomal RNA, 494 nt
Filed under: uncultured bacterium
Lineage: Bacteria
Description: partial 16S ribosomal RNA
Rfam family: Bacterial small subunit ribosomal RNA
Source: RNAcentral
GACGAACGCUGGCGGCGCGCUUAACACAUGCCAGUCGAACGGAAAGGCCUGCUUUCCCUUGUGGAUUGCGGGUACUCGAGUGGCGAACGGGUGAGUAACACGUGAGUGAUCUGCCCCCAACUUGGGUAUAAGCCUGGGAAACUGGGUCUAAUUCCCGAUAGGACUGCAGGGUGGUGCCUGUGGUGGAAAACGAUUUUCUAGUGGUUGGGGAUGAGCUCGAGGCCUAUCAGCUUGUUGGUGGGGUAAUGGCCUACCAAGGCGGCGACGGGUAGCCGGCCUGAGAGGGUGGACGGCCACAUUGGGACUGAGAUACGGCCCAGACUCCUACGGGAGGCAGCAGUGGGGAAUAUUGCACAAUGGGCGGAAGCCUGAUGCAGCGACGCCGCGUGGGGGAUGACGGCCUUCGGGUUGUAAACUCCUUUCGACCGCGAGGAAGCCACCUGGUUGGAAGGGUGGUGACGGUAGUGGUAGAAGAAGCACCGGCUAACUACGUG